RNAcentral lists this transfer RNA (87 nucleotides) under compost metagenome. RNAcentral describes it as "tRNA-Ala". The record is from RNAcentral.
GGCCAGGGUGCCCUGGCCGGAAUAGGCGAUCUGCGCAUUGGCAAUGCGCAACGAUGACACCUGGUUGUUCGAAUCGAUGUCGGCCGC